This 1236-nucleotide ribosomal RNA is filed under the name Triticum aestivum (bread wheat). Its description in RNAcentral is "partial small subunit ribosomal RNA". The record is from RNAcentral. Lineage: Eukaryota; Viridiplantae; Streptophyta; Magnoliopsida; Poales; Poaceae.
AUGUACUUCCCGCCCGCGUUCUUUGACGUGAUGGUGCAUCUGUGUGUCCAUAUUGUGGAUGACAUAAUAGACCUGGGGCCGUCAUUCCUGCACAACAUGAUGCCGUUUGAGAGGAUGAAUGGGAUCAUCAAAGGAUUCGUUCGUAACAUGUCCCGUCCGGAUGGAACCAUCGUCCAGGGCUAUUUGACACAAGAGUGCAUCUCUUUCUGUGAGAAUUUUCUAUAUGGCGCAGACCAGCAGCCUGGUGUUAGUGUUGGUUUGCCCGUUAACAAUCACAAUGGGAGGCUCGAAGGAGAAGGUCACUGCAACAGUCACAGGGAACUGCACGUGGCAUACUCAGAUCGACGCAGCGACUUUGAUAGAGCAAACUUGGUAGUGCUACAACACCUAGACGAGGUAGAUCCUUUCGUGGCACUGCACAAAGAAAUUAUCGCAAAGAAGUACCGUGACCGGGGGGUAUGCAGGAGGGAAGCCAAAGUUACUAGAGAGCACAACUCCACUUUCCUGCAUUGGUUCAAAGAGCGUAUUAUUGCUAAUCCCCCGGAGGAGGGCUCUAAGGACGGAUUGCUCAUAUACGCCUUAGCACAUGGCCCCUCACCCAACCUUGUAACCUAUCAGGCAUAUGAUAUCAACGGAUACACGUUCUACACGGAUGCCAAAGAUAUGGACAGUGAUGAAUAUCAGAACUCAGGGGUGACGAUGGAAUGCAUGACCGGCAGCGACAACGGCGCAACUGAACGAUUUUAUGGAAGGGUCGAGGAGAUCUGGGAGCUUGACUACUCUGGACUGCACAACACGACGAUAUUCCGUGUCAGAUGGGCUAAGAAUGUCAAAAGAGAAAGCCGGAUUUUCACUACCAUGACUAUACCUGACGCCAAGAGCGCUACCGUGAACGCUAUCACAAAAAACGAGCCAUGGGUACAUGCUAAGCACGUGACACAAUGCUUCUUCAUAACCGACCCAUGCAAUCCCAGUCGUGUUAUCGUGAGGCAAGGCAAAAGAAACAUCAUUGGAAUGGACGGAGUCGCCAACGAGGAAGACUAUGAUCAGUACGGCAACCCAAUGAGGGAAGAUGAUGAUGAUGAUGAAGUACACAUCAAAAGAAGAAUCAAUACAACAUUACCAAAGAAAAAUCGUACUCCAUGGAAAAGGCAAAGUCACAAUGAGGGGCUCAAUUAUUCUUCGACGAAUAAGAAGGGAAAGAAGCUGACUCAAAAACGAAAACGUGAGCGCUGA